GGCCUUUUGAUUAUAAUUUAAGGUCGGGCCUGCCCAAUGAAAAAUUUAAUGGCCGCGGUAUAUUAACUGUGCAAAGGUAGCAUAAUCAUUAGUUUUUUAAUUGAAAGCUGGAAUGAAGGGUUUAAUGAAAAAAGUUCUGUUUCUACUUGAGUUUAUUAGAAUUUUAUUUUUAAGUUAAAAAGCUUAAAUAUUUAUUGAAGACGAGAAGACCCUAUAGAGUUUUAUAUUUUUAAAAAUUAUUGUAUUUGGUAUUUUUAAUUUAAUUUUUAAAAAUAUUUGGUUGGGGUGAUUGAAAAAUUAAAAAAACUUUUUUUUUAUUAAACAUUAAUUUAUGAGUAAAUGAUCCUUUUUUUAGAUUAAAAGAAAAAAUUACCUUAGGGAUAACAGCGUAAUUUUUUUUAGAGUUCUUAUCGAAAGAAAAGAUUGCGACCUCGAUGUUGGAUUAAAAUAAGUUUUUGGUGCAGAAGCUAAAAAACUAGGUCUGUUCGACCUUUAAAUUUUUACAUGAUCUGAGUUUAGACCGGUUUGAG
RNAcentral lists this ribosomal RNA (530 nucleotides) under Lauriacalles acutus. RNAcentral's name for it is "partial 16S ribosomal RNA". It matches the Rfam family "Bacterial large subunit ribosomal RNA", at positions 1860 to 2625 of the family's 2925-position model. The record is from RNAcentral. Lineage: Eukaryota; Metazoa; Arthropoda; Insecta; Coleoptera; Curculionidae.